AGCAAAUCCAAAGCAUCCCAUCAACCUGCCUGAGGGUUUCGAUUGGUCAGCCUGCCCCUGCAGGGAUCUAACAUCAUCCCUCAGAAAUGAUAAACAGUAACCAAUUAAUGCUUAUUCAACACGUUGAGAAUAUAAAGGGCUACAGAUGUGCUAACAGUCAUUAAUCUCAUCCUUUCCUAACUCAGGAAUGUAAGUCAAGUUAUGCUGAGCUGUUCACAUUCAGUCCUGGCUACUAGAGUCUACUUCCACCCAAUAAGAGGAAUUAAAGUAAUACCUUGGAAAAAGAGAGGAUAAUGGGUC
RNAcentral lists this long non-coding RNA (300 nucleotides) under Phascolarctos cinereus (koala). RNAcentral's name for it is "lncRNA (ENSPCIG00000026086.2)". The record is from RNAcentral. Lineage: Eukaryota; Metazoa; Chordata; Mammalia; Diprotodontia; Phascolarctidae.